RNAcentral lists this ribosomal RNA (436 nucleotides) under Blastocystis sp. RNAcentral's name for it is "bacterial SSU rRNA". It matches the Rfam family "Eukaryotic small subunit ribosomal RNA", at positions 474 to 921 of the family's 1831-position model. The record is from RNAcentral. Lineage: Eukaryota; Bigyra; Opalinata; Blastocystidae.
UAAAUCACAAUGCGGAACAAUGUUUUGCAAUUGGAUUGAGAACAACGUACAAACCUUAUCGAUAAACAAUUGGAGGGCAAGUCUGGUGCCAGCAGCCGCGGUAAUUCCAGCUCCAAUAGCGUAUAUUAACGUUGUUGCAGUUAAAAAGCUCGUAGUUGAAAUGAAGGGUAGUUGUGUAAUGAAUACAUUCGUGUAUUUUGUUAUUCUACUACCCUCCUUCUAAAUUCGAUAUAUGAGUAUUAAUUUACUUGUAUAUGGUUUUAGACAUUUACUGUGAGAAAAUUAGAGUGUUCAAAGCAGGCAUUUGCUUGAAUAUAUUAGCAUGGAAUAAUCAUGUAUGAUUUUCAUGAUGUAUUUGAUUGGUUUGGUUCAUGAGAAUAAGAUUAAAAGGGACAGUUGGGGGUAUUCAUAUUCAAUAGUCAGAGGUGAAAUUCUC